ACAUUGUUCCAUCGAGCCUUCUAU
RNAcentral lists this small RNA (24 nucleotides) under Arabidopsis thaliana (thale cress). Its description in RNAcentral is "ATSL060810". The record is from RNAcentral. Lineage: Eukaryota; Viridiplantae; Streptophyta; Magnoliopsida; Brassicales; Brassicaceae.